RNAcentral lists this ribosomal RNA (1469 nucleotides) under Triticum aestivum (bread wheat). RNAcentral describes it as "partial small subunit ribosomal RNA". Lineage: Eukaryota; Viridiplantae; Streptophyta; Magnoliopsida; Poales; Poaceae. The record is from RNAcentral.
GUGACAUUAUAGAUUUUCAUGAAUACGCAAAGAAUUGCAUAUCAUUUCAAUGAUAGGUAGAAGAGAACAGUUACAGCAGAGAGAUGGGGGGAGGGGGCACCACACUAAAAAGAUACACAUCCUAAACACUCGCCUAGCCCAAACACUAGCCACUGAUGGCAAAGAGAAGGACGCAUGGCACACAAACCGCGCAAGACCAACACAUGAAACCUCCAUCGCGCAGCCACCACCCCAACACAAACCAAAUCAACGUACCCCCACCUUAUGCGCCUAAAGGAGUUGGCAAGUAGGAUGCAGAACUCGGUCGUGCCGCAGGAGAAAGCGCUCGAGGAAGUGCCAGUGAUUUCGUACAUUGCACCAUGAUAGCCCACGCCCUGGGAAGCAGCCAGACCAAGCACGGUGUCCAACAUCACAAUCCAAUGUCGGAGACUUCACAAGCACCAAGAUAACGCCUUCAUGAAGGGUGCCACGUCGUGACGCCGCCACUGUCUGAUCCAGCAAACUGGACCAAGGGUUUCCCCUGGCACUCAAGGGGCAUGGUAGAGAUGCCAUGGUAGCGCCUUCAAGAAGGGGACGACACCCACGGGUGUCGCCACUACCAGCAUCGGCGCAGGGCUUUCACCUGGCCAGAGACCGAACAAUCCCAAAGAAGCUUGCCGGAGUCGGAGACGCGGACAUGAAAAUGCUGGCUGGAGCAUCCACCACAGGAAGGAGAGACGUGCCCACAAGACCCACCACCACUCGGCACCGCCCUCACUGUAGCGCAGGCACCCGAGCCGCCACAGACAGAUCUGGGCAGAGAAGACCCAGAUCUGCCUCCACCAGCAAAAAAUGGCCAUCCCGAAGAGGAGGAUGGGCCGUACCGCCUGAAAAGACGCGGAACCAGGCCAAGGCCUGGCCGCAGCACACACCGAAGGCUGGUAGCCGACAGCGGAAGCAGGCAGCCGGAGGACGGGGCUGGAACUCCACCGUAGACACGCGCCAAGCUGCGCAGUAGCGCCGAACGAGGCCGAAUCCGGCAGCUCCGCAGAGGAGCCAUGGAUCUGGCGGGGGAGGAUGGACCUGAGGGACGGUGACCCGGAGUUGGAGGGGAACUGGCCGACCAGAGGAUGGCAGACGAAGUGGCCGGAGCAGGGGCCAUGCCAGCGCCGAUGAACAACCGGACUAGCGGGGCGGGAAGCAGUCGUCAGAGAGGAUCAUCCCAAGCCGCACCGGAGUGGAUCUCAGAGUGGAGGGGGAGGGGCAAAACGGGAUGAACGGAUCUGUGCCGCCGCCGCCAUCCUGGGGCUCGGCACAGCUUCACCGGCAAGCCCUCCGGCGAUGGCAAAGCGAGGAGGGGCGGAGGAGGUUCCUAACGGCGGCGGCGGUAGGGUUUCCCCCGUGUCGCAUGUGGUGGCGACGCAGGGGUCGGGUAUCUCUCCCUCUCUCUCUCCCUCUCCCUCUCCCUCUCCCCCCAGGCGACAUUAUAG